Molecule: long non-coding RNA, 1012 nt
Organism: Lathyrus oleraceus (garden pea)
Lineage: Eukaryota; Viridiplantae; Streptophyta; Magnoliopsida; Fabales; Fabaceae
Exons: 3
Source: RefSeq, a predicted model, not a curated record
CAAAUAUCAUGUCCAUUCUUCCUGAUUCCUCACACACAAACCUAAUCAAAACCAAUGGUGGAAGAACCUUAACAACCUAAACUACAAUUAAAUCAUAACCAAUUGGAAUCAAAGCCCGAUAGGUUGGGGCUUUGAUUCCCCAAUCUUCCCUCUACAUCACUGUAACCAACAUGAAGUGAAUCAUAGAAGAAAAAGGAAAGCACUCACCAGAGCCGAGGUCAGAAAUCAGGAUAUGUUUGAUGCAUGUCUAGGAUGUUGGAUUGUUUCACUUGCUGCAGAUGGUUGACUAAAGUAUCAUGGCUUGUUAUGAUUAUUAUUGCAUGACAUGGUGCUUGAUGGUGGCGUAUUACCUUGGCUCUAUGAAUAUGUGGUAUGAUAGUUGUUUGGCUUGAACAAGAUGAUAACCAUGAUGAAUGUACCUGCUGCUACUACAUUGUGAAUGAUAAUGAACUAAACACAUGUCAACCAUUUCCCUGCUACUGAUUAUUGUUGUUUUGUAGGUCUGCUACAGAAUUUUGGACUUAAUGUAGGCAUAUGGUGUUGUAUCAUGAUGGUCUGAUGUAGCAGAGUCAUAGCAUGUUGCAGGGCCAAUUGCUGCAGGAAUUACUCUUGCUAUGUAUUUUGGUGAAAGGCCUGGUUUGUGUGAUUGGACAUGGUUGCAAGGCAAAUUCCAAGUGUAUUCAAGGCAUGACCAAGUUCAAGGUAUGGCAAACUUGGUGCAAAAUGGCUUUCUUGUCCAUGAGGCAAUAUGAUGAUAAAAUCUCAUGAAAUAAUGCAAGAGUGAAGAUGUAAUACACAUUAGGGUUUAGGUCAUGGAAAAAGAGGUUGGUUGACUUUGGUCAACUGGUUGACCAAAAAGUCAAUAGUUGACCAAAAGUCAACCCUUUGUAAAAAAGUCAUUUUUGUAUUUCCUUUUGUAAUGGACAAUGUAAAUGCUAUUUUAAUGAUUGAUUGAACAUAUGUCUGAAUGAAAUGAUCCAUGAUUGAAUGUUAAACAAUUUGAUUUCAAAAA